UAAUUUUAUUCUUUAUCGUGUUUUUAUUCUUUAUCGUCCCAUUGGGUAGUAAAUAAGGAAUACCUACAUAAUAACCGUAUCCUUGCAAAGUUAUGCACCAAAGGCAUGUGAUACUCAGAAAAUAUAAAAUCGUUCAGAAUCUAAUUCAAUGUGUAUACAUGAAUGAUACAACGUGUUUUGCGAGCGAAAACACGUUGUUUACAAAGCAAGAAGAAUUCUACCACCAGACAGACCAACGCGAAAAUGUCUCGAACGAAUGCAAACAACCGACUCACAUUUUUCGACUGUUACGUCAUUGGGAGAAACAAUAAUUACCAACAUGCUACUCUCUGCUAUCGUCUAGCGGAAACAGCGUCGUCACUUCGCAUAGAAAAAGUCGCAUAAUGCCAUUCGGAAAUGAAUACUCCAUAGUUCAUUGCCUUAAAAGACAGCGCAUUGCCAGAGCGACACUACGUACCGGACGAGAUGUUACGUAGUUCCUAAAAACGUCGAAGGAAUCUUUUCAAUGGCACAUGUAUGGAAACACCAUGUCAAUUGGAAAUCCGGGUCAAGGGCAAACAUUUAAACUACUGCGAUAACUGUCUAUAUUCCGACAAAAACACCUUUACAGUACAAGUUAUAUUAAAUAGAACUGCCUAAUACUAAUUUAAAAAAUUAUAAACGUACGUAAAUUUUGCGCUAUGUGAUUACGUUCACCGUAUUUUUUAGCUCAAUGACGUAUUUUACGUAAAAUAGCCGCGCAACGUAUAGCCGUUUGUCAAAAUCCGCCUCGUUUACUCUUACCUGCUGAAUAAGUGUGAUCAAUUGGCGUUCCAGUGCGCUGGAAAUAAAUAAAGACGAUCGUGUUAUUUACAAUCGACUUCGAUCCGUCUUGCCAGAGGUGCAACUUUCAUCGCCAAAAUUGGUGCUACGUUCGAUCGCUUGCACGCGGCGGUAUUUUUAACUGUGGGUAAUUCGACUGCAGCUUACAUCAUGCGGGUUACGUAUAUUAAAAACAACUGAUCAGGUAAACCCAUAUUAAUCUAUACGAACCCAUAUAAACUGCCUAACCUAUAUGAAUUGUUAAUUACAGAAACUUAGUUUAAGCGAAUUUGGCCUAAAUAUUCACAACCUUUUCUUAAGGAACUAAUAAACUAUGACAUAUUCUACAUAAACUGAUAUCUCUAUCUGUCUAAGCUGCUUAUAAGCAACAAACAAUUCAAAUCAGUUCAUUCUUGCUCAUUAACGCAUUAACAUUACAUGCCCUGCCAGUAAGACUCCGCAUGCCUAAACCAGACUGGCGCUAUCUUGGUACGGACCUAGAGGGGCACAGAAUCAUAGACCUCUCCUAUGGGACUGCGGCAUACUCUCAUCAUUGCUCUAUCGUUCUGGCGAUAAGACGCUGGCCUGCUUGACAAUAAACCGGCACUUGGAUACGCGUAAAAGGUUGCGCGGCCGGCUGUUCCCACCAGCGAGGCGAAAUGAAUUGGAGGGGCGGCUGAAACAGCUGCUCUAACGUUUUACUCGCGCCGGACACUUUUGCAGCUCCAAGCAAGCGUUAAAUUGAUGCGAACGAACGACAACUACAACUGCUCAAUCCUGUUUACAAGCAAGAUAACCGAUAAAACAAAGCCCGAAAACGUUGACAGUUCUUUUUUUCUAUCAACUUAUAUAUAUAUAUACUUUAUUUAACGUAAAUACAAAAGUAGAAGUUUUAAAUUUUACACGCCUUACAUGCUCAACUAUCAUACAGUUCCUAAUUACUUUGAUAAUUAAAAUCGCCAAUAAGCGUUUUUCCCCUUCUAAUAAGUGGUACAUAAUUUUUAAUAUUAGGCUUAUAACUAAUGGCUAUGCAUUGUUUUAUAUAUUACACUUUUUCUAUUCUUUUAAACAUGUGCACUCAAUACGUAUACCAGUCUGUCUAUAUUACUCAUGAAGUGGCGCGCAUUUUUAUAACCUACUCGCUUCGAGUGAGUUCUUAAAUCCUUUUCCCCAUGCUCUCGGUCAGGGCUAUUCUUAACGCAUGACGAUGUUGCUUUUAACAAGCCUAACGUAACGAGCGCCGACCUCAGACGUUGAUCUGCUGUCAGCGAGAAUAUCUGAUUUAUUCUGAUUGUAAAUUAGCUCUGUCAGUUAACCGGGGUUUUGGUAUUAAAUUGGUUUAAAAAUAUUACUUCAAUUUUACAUGCAAAAUGUCACACACUCUACUCUAUAGUCUAUAGUGUCUAUACCGAUUGAUUGGCAUCGAAAUUUGUUUUCGUUUCAAAC
Molecule: non-coding RNA, 2247 nt
Organism: Ciona intestinalis (vase tunicate)
Lineage: Eukaryota; Metazoa; Chordata; Ascidiacea; Phlebobranchia; Cionidae
Source: RefSeq, a predicted model, not a curated record